GAUGAAGAACGCAGCGAAAUGCGAUACUUGGUGUGAAUUGCAGAAUCCCGUGAACCAUCGAGUCUUUGAACGCAAGUUGCGCCCGAAGCCAUUAGGCCGAGGGCACGCCUGCCUGGGCGUCACACGUCGUUGCCCCCCCAUCUACUCCUUCGGGAUUGCGGGGGGCGGAUGAUGGCCUCCCGUGCGCCUCGUCGCGCGGUUGGCAUAAAUGCCAAGUCUUCGGCGACGCACGCCACGACAAUCGGUGGUUGCGAAACCUCGGUUGCCCGUCGUGUGCGGUCGUCGCGCAUCGAGGGCUCGAAAAAAUUGCCGGGCUCCGGCUCGACUUUCAACGCGACCCCAGGUCAGGCGGGGUUACCCGCUGAAUUUAAGCAUAUCAAUAAGCGGAGGA
Molecule: unclassified non-coding RNA, 391 nt
Filed under: soil metagenome
Description: partial contains 5.8S ribosomal RNA, internal transcribed spacer 2, and large subunit ribosomal RNA
Rfam family: 5.8S ribosomal RNA (bases 1-122)
Source: RNAcentral